GGGGAGAUUCAUCGUCAGCUCAUUUUGUAUAUAUAUGAGGUAUGAUAUGGGUUACUACUUGUAGUAUUGCCUGUACGUUCUUGUAUAUUUUAUUGCAAGAUGUUGUCGGCGUGCACUUCUCCCCUAGUAGGACGUCGCGACCCGUUGAGUGUCGGUCUACGGCCCAAGUGGUAGCCUUUGAUUUUUUAUUAAAUUGAAGACCCUUGGUGUUUCCUGACUGGCUACUCGGCGGUAUUCGUACGGUAUUAAGCCGCAUUUAUGCGUUCAUACCCGUCGCAAGCGAGGUCAAUUUUUGGCAGUACGGACCUAGUGCCGUCGCUAUAAUUGAUCAGCUGUUGGCUGUACGGUGUUCUAGAACU
RNAcentral lists this ribosomal RNA (359 nucleotides) under Aphaereta sp. TKH-2012. RNAcentral's name for it is "eukaryotic LSU rRNA". The record is from RNAcentral. Lineage: Eukaryota; Metazoa; Arthropoda; Insecta; Hymenoptera; Braconidae.